GAAGGUCAGUUACCAGAGAGACACGACAGAAGGUCAGUUACCAGAGAGACACGACAGAAGGUCAGUUACCAGAGAGACACGACAGAAGGUCAGUUACCAGAGAGACACGACAGAAGGUCAGUUACCAGAGACGACAGAAGGUCAGUUACCAGAGAGACGCCAGAAGGUUAGUUACCAGAGAGACGACAGAAGGUUAGUUACCAGAGAGACGACAGAAGGUUAGUUACCAGAGAGACGAGAAAGACGGUUAAGUUACCAGAGAGACGAGAAAGAUGGUUAGUUACCAGAGAGACGAGACAGACGGUUAAGUUACCAGAGAGACGACAGAAGGUUAGUUGCCAGAGAGACGACAGAAGGUUAGUUGCCAGAGAGACGACAGAAGGUUAGUUACCAGAGAGACGACAGAAGGUCAGUUACCAGAGAGACGACAGAAGGUUAGUUACCAGAGAGACGAGAAAGACGGUUAGUUACCAGAGAGACGACAGAAGGUUAGUUGCCAGAGAGACGACAGAAGGUUAGUUUCCAGAGAGACGACAGAAGGUUAUUUACCAGAGAGACGCGACAGAAGGUUAGUUACCAGAGAGACGCGACAGAAGGUUAGUUACCAGAGAGACGCGACAGAAGGUUAGUUACCAGAGAGACGCGACAGAAGGUUAGUUACCAGAGAGACGCGACAGAAGGUUAGUUACCAGAGAGACGCGACAGAAGGUUAGUUACCAGAGAGACGCGACAGAAGGUUAGUUACCAGAGAGACGCGACAGAAGGUUAGUUACCAGAGAGACGCGACAGAAGGUUAGUUACCAGAGAGACGCGACAGAAGGUUAGUUACCAGAGAGACGCGACAGAAGGUUAGUUACCAGAGAGACGCGACAGAAGGUUAGUUACCAGAGAGACGAGACAGAAGGUUAGUUACCAGAGAGACGACAGAAGGUUAGUUACCAGAGAGACGCGACAGGAGGUUAGUUACCAGAGAGCCGCGACAGAAGGUUAGUUACCAGAGAGACGCGACGAAGGUUAGUUACCAGAAGGACAACAGAAGGUUAGUUACCAGAGAGAUGCGACAGGUUAGUUACCAGAGAGACGCGACAGUCGGUCAGUUACCAGUAGGGUACUAGCAGAGUAGGGAACUAGCAGAGUAGGGGACCCCAGUAGGGGACUAGCAGAGUAGAGGACCCCAGUAGGGGACUAGCAGAGUAGAGGACCCCAGUAGGGGACUAGCAGAGUAGGGGACCACAGUAGGGGACUAGCAGAGUAGGGGACCAGAAGAGUAGGAGACCACAGUAGGGGACUAGCAGAGUAGGGGACUAGCAGAGUAGGGAACCACAGUAGGGGACUAGCAGAGUAUGGGACCACAGUAGGGGACUAGCAGAGUAGGGAACUAGCACAGUAGGGGACCACAGUAGGGGACUAGCAGAGUAGGGGAUUAACAGAGUAGGGGACUAGCAGAGUAGGGGACUAGUAGAGUAGGGGACUAGCAGAGUAGGGGACUAGCAGAGUAGGGAACUAGCAGAGUAGGGAACUAGCAGAGUAGGGGACCACAGUAGGGGACUAGCAGAGUAGGGGACCCCAGUAGGGGACUAGCAGAGUAGAGGACCCCAGUAGGGGACUAGCAGAGUAGGGGACCACAGUAGGGGACUAGCAGAGUAGGGGACCACAGUAGGGGACUAGUAGUGUACAAGUAGAAGUCUGCUCAAUUUAUCCAACAUAAUGGGUUGAUUAUAAUGUGUAUUAUUGCUGGAAUAGAAGUCUGCACACCCAGUAGAUUUACAUUUACAGUAGAUCAGGGAUCAAGGUUCCACCUCUGGUAUGGAUAUAUUUGUUUUCCCAAAAUGAUGCUUAUGUAAUAACAGCCUACUUACUAAGAUGUCUAACAAUUAUAAACAAGUUAUCUAAUUUGUACAUUUUGAAAUUAUAUGUUGAUUAAUUUAAUUUGUAUUAAUUGUUUAAACUUUAUUUAAUUGUUAACGUAAAAACAUUAUUCAAGAUGAACCAGUGUCAAUGUUCAUUGGAACCGUGCGCGGGCCUAUAGUGCGGGGGUAGCAGGAAAGAGACUGGGGCUCGCAGGUCGACUGGGAUCAGCAUCAGAGUCCUGAGGUAGGAUCCCAGCCAGAACCGUGCGAGGGCCUGAGUCUUGUUGUUGACCGGGGAGGUGGCAAGAGUCAGAUGUAACGCUGUGUAGCGGCUGCCCAGGAACAAGUAGAGGUCAGGCAAGCCUUCCCCCCCCCUUGGACCUGGGCCUCUUGACCACCUCCCUCCUCAGCCUCUCCCACUUGCCUCCCCACAGGAAGUAAAAAAGCAUCCGCUCCAGGUCUAAAAUACUCCUUUGAGGGGGAAUAAAAACAGAACUGAUUAAUAAACGCACAGCAUUAAUGAUUAAAACCUUGCCCUCAAAAGUCAGCUGUCGUAGUCCCCAAAAACCCAGUCUCUGUCUUACUGUCCCCAGGAUACCACUCCAGUUACCGCUCCCUCCUCCCUCCCGGUCAAAC
Long non-coding RNA from Oncorhynchus keta (chum salmon), 2486 nucleotides. RefSeq lists it as uncharacterized. The transcript has 4 exons. The record is from RefSeq and is a predicted model, not a curated record. NCBI's taxonomy places the organism in Eukaryota, Metazoa, Chordata, Actinopteri, Salmoniformes, Salmonidae.